Triticum aestivum (bread wheat) is the source of this 174-nucleotide non-coding RNA. NCBI's taxonomy places the organism in Eukaryota, Viridiplantae, Streptophyta, Magnoliopsida, Poales, Poaceae. The record is from Rfam.
GCCAUGAAGAGGAAGAAAGAGAGAUCUUGAGAGCGCUAGGAAUGGGAAUAUGGAGGAAAGCCAAACUUAUUUGUUUUCACCUCUAGUGUUGGAGGUACAAAUAUUAUAUUUGGUGUUUUCCCGAUGCCUUCCAUUCCUAUGGUUCUUGAGCACUCCUUCCUCUUCCCUUCUGCU